AAAAUGUUUUCUUCCUUCGUAAAUAUAGAGAAGGGCAGGCGGGAGUACCUUGAUGCCAUGUGAGGGAGCGAAAUUCUGAAACAAAAGCCAACAGCAAGAGGAACAGAUCAGCAGAACAGUUUUGCAGAUCUUGGUAUGCAGUUGGAGAGGGUGAUUUGGUGCAAAUCUGCUUGAGGAAGCUCUAAAUUAUGAAGUUGCGUUUGCAGCUUCUCGGUGUUAUGGUGGUCCUUCACAAGGCGUUCAAGUAUCGACGUAGGGAGAGGAUUUUCGAAAGACUGCUCGGGAAGUAUAAAGCUGAUGUUAUUAAGUGUUUGUCAGCUUCCCACAAUUGAAAGAGACUGAGAAUGUCGUGACCCCUACUUUUUCCCUCUUUCCAUAGCUUCAGUGUUGCCUUUAGUUCUUUACAGGGAAGAGUUAUUCUACUCGAGCAGUUGUAAAAUGAUUAGAAUGUCUUGUUUAUUUAAGGAA
Long non-coding RNA from Hevea brasiliensis (rubber tree), 468 nucleotides. RefSeq lists it as uncharacterized. The record is from RefSeq and is a predicted model, not a curated record. Lineage: Eukaryota; Viridiplantae; Streptophyta; Magnoliopsida; Malpighiales; Euphorbiaceae. The transcript is spliced from 2 exons.